This 484-nucleotide ribosomal RNA is filed under the name uncultured bacterium. RNAcentral's name for it is "partial 16S ribosomal RNA". It matches the Rfam family "Bacterial small subunit ribosomal RNA", at positions 30 to 507 of the family's 1533-position model. The record is from RNAcentral.
AUUGAACGCUGGCGGCAGGCCUAACACAUGCAAGUCGAGCGGAUGAAGGGAGCUUGCUCCUGGAUUCAGCGGCGGACGGGUGAGUAAUGCCUAGGAAUCUGCCUGGUAGUGGGGGAUAACGUCCGGAAACGGGCGCUAAUACCGCAUACGUCCUAAGGGAGAAAGUGGGGGAUCUUCGGACCUCACGCUAUCAGAUGAGCCUAGGUCGGAUUAGCUAGUUGGUGGGGUAAAGGCCUACCAAGGCGACGAUCCGUAACUGGUCUGAGAGGAUGAUCAGUCACACUGGAACUGAGACACGGUCCAGACUCCUACGGGAGGCAGCAGUGGGGAAUAUUGGACAAUGGGCGAAAGCCUGAUCCAGCCAUGCCGCGUGUGUGAAGAAGGUCUUCGGAUUGUAAAGCACUUUAAGUUGGGAGGAAGGGCAGUAAGUUAAUACCUUGCUGUUUUGACGUUACCAACAGAAUGAGCACCGGCUAACUUCGUG